GGAGACUCGGUCACGCUCCCCACUUAGAAGGAGACCCCUGCACACUCAGGGACAUACACAUUGACCCAAACACACACGGAGGAGGCAGCCCCUGUCACACUCAGGCACCCAGAGCCCCGACCCACCUCAAGGCCGGCCCCACGUGAUCACACCAGACACAGAUGUGACCCCCUCUGACAUCAGUGCAUGUCACCUCAUACAACCCAGCACACUGGCCACUUUCUGUCGCCAACCACAGGCUUUGUCACCCCCUGGACAGGUGGUGACAGACACCCUGUCACACUGGCUGACUCACACAGCAGUGGGAACUGGUGCACACAUGACAUGCCCCCCCACCUCCGUCAAGGGAGCUGUCUGAGCCGGGCUGCCUGUGAGGCCAAGGGGAUUCAGGGGUUGGUUCUAUUUGCAGGAAACAUGGAUAUUUACAAUGCUUUAUUUUUAAACCUUGCUUGUUCCAGACUGGGCUACUGUGGGGCGGGAUGGGUGGAACCCAGCCUUGAACCUCCCACGCUAAAAGUCAGCCCGUGGCUAGGGACUGUGGUCUUUCAGUGCACGGAUUGGGAGGGUGGUGAAGCUCAGUGAAGAGCAGGGGGCACUCAAAGGCAUGUGACCUCUGUGACUGAUUUGAGCUGGCUGGCACCAAGGUCAAGGCUGAGGCAGGGGCAGCCAGGCCCAGACACCUGCCCAUCGCCACCUCCUCUCCCAUGCUUACUGGGAAAUUAGUUCUGCUCCUUUACUGACUCCUCCACAGCACAUCUCCGCCAGGUAGCUCCAGCACAGGGUUGCUGAUGCCCAGCCAAGAAGCUCCCUGAAACCAGGCUCUGGGGCUCUGGAUUCAUCAAAGUUAUCCUCACCCUGAGCUGGACAAUGCUGAGGGCAGAGAGAGGCCUCGGCUCCUACCGAGAACACAGCUGGACACCCACUCCUGGCCGAGGGUCAGAGCAAGGGCCCCAGGGACCAGGGAAGGAGCCAGCCGGACUGGCCAGGAUGGGGACCCAUGAGGCCUGCGGGCGGCAGGAAGGAGCAGGCUGAUUCCAGGAGAGGAUGAUGGAAAAAGCAGGGCCGCCAGCUGUCCCUGCAGGGCCAUUUGCAGCCCCAGGUCACAGGUCGAAGGCCCUGUCCCUGGGGGUCCCAGGUCGGCAAUGCAGGAAAGCCAUCAGGCUGGGGGGCGGGGCAGAGGGCUGGGGAGGCAAAG
This is a long non-coding RNA of Bos taurus (domestic cattle), 1195 nucleotides long. The record is from Ensembl. Lineage: Eukaryota; Metazoa; Chordata; Mammalia; Artiodactyla; Bovidae.